This is a long non-coding RNA of Rhinopithecus roxellana (golden snub-nosed monkey), 676 nucleotides long. RefSeq lists it as uncharacterized. The record is from RefSeq and is a predicted model, not a curated record. The transcript has 5 exons. NCBI's taxonomy places the organism in Eukaryota, Metazoa, Chordata, Mammalia, Primates, Cercopithecidae.
GGGCCAAAGGGGGGUCUCGCGCACGCGCGCGCGCGGGAGAUCGAGGCUCCCGCGCUAGGUUAGUGCGAGACCCCGCCAGCUUGAGGCGGGGGCUGAGCGCGGGCCAAGUCCAAGUGCGCAAGCCCAGAUCUUGGCGCGCCCCUGAGGAGUUUCUGUGGGAAGAUUUUCUGUUUUCCAGGUUUCCCAAGGGAAACGAAGAAAGGGAGUGGGAGAAUCCAUGACUGGACCUCUAAUAGAUGUUGGACGACUUUAAAAAAAAAAAAAGUAUCGGCCUUACCCUCGAGGAUUUGACAAAUUAAGCUGGCCAGAGUGAUAAGAGAUACAGGCAGAAGAGGAGACAUAGAGGAGAAGGUGACGUGAAAAGGGAGGCAGAGAUCACAGUGAUGUGGCUAUAAGCCAAGUAAUACCAAAGCCAUCAGAAGCUGGAAGAGAAAACUUAAUAGUUAGAUUUCAAUUGCACAUGUUCUAUCCUAUAAGGAAUGUCUGACUCUUCAUAACGUACUCACAUUGGGAUUAAUCAAGGAAACAACUUGACUCACAGAGAAUGAAGAAAAGCAAAACAGGACAACAACCCACCUGGGAGCAACAGGGAGCCAGGGGAUCCUCCCCAACUGAGGGAAGUGAUUUUCUUCCACCUCUGCCAUCUCUGAGACAGCAAGACCAAGCCCUUCUCUUC